UACGGGGGGGGCAAGCGUUGUUCGGGAUUACUGGGCGUAAAGGGCUCGUAGGUGGCCAACUAGGUCAGACGUGAAAUCCCUCGGCUUAACCGGGGAACUGCGUCUGAUACUGGAUGGCUUGAGUUCGGGAGAGGGAUGCGGAAUUCCAGGUGUAGCGGUGAAAUGCGUAGGUAUCUGGAGGAACACCGGUGGCGAAGGCGGCAUCCUGGACCGACACUGACGCUGAGGAGCGAAAGCCAGGGGAGCAAACGGG
RNAcentral lists this ribosomal RNA (253 nucleotides) under uncultured bacterium. Its description in RNAcentral is "partial 16S ribosomal RNA". It matches the Rfam family "Bacterial small subunit ribosomal RNA", at positions 524 to 776 of the family's 1533-position model. The record is from RNAcentral.